Molecule: long non-coding RNA, 2121 nt
Filed under: Citrus sinensis (sweet orange)
Lineage: Eukaryota; Viridiplantae; Streptophyta; Magnoliopsida; Sapindales; Rutaceae
Description: long non-coding RNA (CSIN_LNC001368)
Source: RNAcentral
CACCUCAUUGCUGUUGGUGUACUUUCCAAAGCUGUGUUGAGCUCCGGCAUGGGAGAAAACAGUUUCGAGUAUCUUGCCUUUCGUGGAUCCCUCAUUAAUGAUUGCCUGCCGAUUGCAUUUCCAUUUUGAUGUCGUGAUAGAGAGGUGUGGAGUGGUGUUGUCAUGUGUGAGCUUGUUUCUGGGCGGAGGGUAGCAAUGGAUACCCGUCUCUUUGGCUGAAUAGCUUGUGUUGUUGAAGGAGUAGGUCUGACGGCAAUUGACAUCCGUCUUGGAAUCAUAAGCAUUUUAGCAUUUGUUGGGGCUGUCAUUGUGGUUCUCUGAGUGUUUUCUUUUCCCUCGGAUGCUGCCAUUGUGGUUCUCAUAGUGUUUUUUUUCUGAGGAGGGCGAGGAGAUUGUGGAGGCACGAAGUUACUGAUUCUUCGUAAUGGCAUCCUCAUUUUUGAAGGAGCCAAUGGUGGCUUUUUCUCUGUCUUGGUCUUUACUGCAACUUGUUUAAGAGUUGACCGAGUAGAUGUAGCAGCAAAAGCUCUCGUUUCCUGCUUUAUUCUUGUUUUCCUUUCCUCAGCUAAUUGAUUUUCCAGGUCCUUGACCUGUUAUAAAGAUUCAGUCUGGUUAGCAAAGUGAACAAAAACAAUAAAUAACACUAAAUCCCUACGAUGCCUGCAUGGUAGAACAGACUUUCUGCAUUUUCAUACUCUUAAAAGGAAGCUAUAAUCAUUUAAGAAGAGAAGAACUCAAUGAACACACUAAAUUAAGGAUAUGAUAGGAAGUUUUAAACUAGACCAUCAUAUUUAAUUACCUUUUCUUGAAGGGCUCUGCAGAUAUGUUCUCUGGCAGCGAGCCUUAAUUGUACAGACUGCAAAUUGUCCUGCUGUACGGCCAAGGCGGAUGUACGGUACAGCAGUGUUUCUAAAAGUCAAAAUAGAGAUAUUGCACUUCAACUUUUGUAACGGAUCUUUUUGUUCCAACGGUCCAAUCUAUCCUGUACGAGUAUUAGCUAUUAAGAACGUAUGCAAACGGCUACUUUUUUGUUUUUAAAUUCUUUCUUUGUAGCAUUAUUGUAUUUAUAACUUUGUUAUAUCUUUUCAAAAAAAAAAAAAAACUUUGUUAUAUUAAUUUCUCUAUUUCUUCUUGAAAGUGAGAGAAUUAUUGCUUAGCCGUUGAUCAUAAUGAAUCAAACGGUCGAGGGACUUUUUGAAUUUUGACUUUACGAAGGGUAGUGAUUGCAUGGUUGAAGCACAGUAUGAGCUUGCAUCGAGAUCCACGUGUUAUUAUCCAAACGUGAUAUAUUUUAGAAAAUCACUUUGUAGCUAUUUGCAACGAUUACUCUUCAUAAAAUUUUCAUUACCAAGACUCUUGAAUGGAGAGAAAAAGAAAUGGAACUCCAACACAGUGAAAAAUAACUGAUUUUUAGUAAGUAAGAAGCAUACACUUGAAAAGCAUUCUAGAUAGAGUUCUAUAACAAAAACAAUCACAGAACAACGAGAAGAAAUAUACUCUGUUAUUGUAUUGAUAACAAAGACUGUUAAAAAUUUGUUUUAGUUUUUAUUUUUUCAUUCGUCGCAUCUCAAUUGAAGGUUUGAGAAGGCAAUAAUGAUCUCCUGUAGUUCCUCAUGCCUCUCGCCUUCAAAGGACUCCACACAAGUGUUUUCCUUUGCAGUGCAACAACAGUUGGAUGCUUGGGCUUCCAAGAACCCGGUGCCUGCGUAGGGGGACUUCCCAUGAACUUACUACUGCACCUCAUUGCUGUUGGUGUACUUUCCAAAGCUGUGUUGAGCUCCGGCAUGGGAGAAAACAGUUUCGAGUAUCUUGCCUUUCGUGGAUCCCUCAUUAAUGAUUGCCUGCCGAUUGCAUUUCCAUUUUGAUGUCGUGAUAGAGAGGUGUGGAGUGGUGUUGUCAUGUGUGAGCUUGUUUCUGGGCGGAGGGUAGCAAUGGAUACCCGUCUCUUUGGCUGAAUAGCUUGUGUUGUUGAAGGAGUAGGUCUGACGGCAAUUGACAUCCGUCUUGGAAUCAUAAGCAUUUUAGCAUUUGUUGGGGCUGUCAUUGUGGUUCUCUGAGUGUUUUCUUUUCCCUCGGAUGCUGCCAUUGUGGUUCUCAUAGUGUUUUUUUUCUGAGGAGGGC